This is an RNA transcript of Anopheles funestus (African malaria mosquito), 4158 nucleotides long. It is a transcript of the gene named chromosome transmission fidelity protein 18 homolog, with no coding region annotated. The transcript has 12 exons. The record is from RefSeq and is a predicted model, not a curated record. Lineage: Eukaryota; Metazoa; Arthropoda; Insecta; Diptera; Culicidae.
CAACGGCUUUAGAAGUUUUCCAAGCAUUCAAUAUAUUUUCGAUGAAGCCUUAUUUACGGAUUUAUAUUCAUUAUUCGCAUAAGUUUCAAAUGAUUAUAAAUUCUGUUUAAAAUAUUUUCAACGAAUUUUCUCCGGGUACCUAUGGCACAAAAUUGGAACGUUUACUUCAUUAUUUUGCCACAAGAUGGCGCUACUACACAGCGUUCGAGGUGCAAAACAUCGCAUGGAAUGUAAAAAGGUUUUGGUUUAUUUUUAAUGAUUAUGUAUCUAUCCAACCGAAAAGUAGAAAUUAAACAAUCGAUUGUUAUAAAACGAUCCAUAACGUUUUGUUCUAGAAUGAUUCUAUUUAAUUUGUUGAUUUAUAAUAAAGGAAAACUUACAACAAAAAAUAUUUGCUCAUAUGCCAAAACGGUAAUACAAAUGGAUAUCCCAUUGUGCGAGGGCGCCAAAAAUAAACGUCAAACCAAACUGUUUAAUUACAUUCUAUUUUGUGAACGGUGAGCUUCUGUGUGAACGGUGAGCUUUAUGUUGUGUUUAAACCAAGUAUAAUUGUUUGUGGUCUUAAGAUGGAUCAAUACUCUACGGUGGAGGAAGAGUUCGAGUUGGUUUACGGAGAUGAUCUCGAAGCCAUGGACGAAGUGGACGCUGAACCAUCAUCGGGGAUGCGAAAUGGUCCGUCAGUGCCAAGUACGCCUUCCAAUGGAAAUGCAAGGAUUGGUCCAAGAGCUUCAAGCUCCUGCUCAAACUAUCGUACCCCGGGUCAAUUGGCAACUAUCGAUGAAAGUCCCCUAGCUAGUCCAGCGUUGUCCAUUAUCACUCGUGGCAGUAGUACCGCUCAUAAACGGCUGUUUGAUACUCCUGACCCGUCAUCACGUACAGCUGUUAACGGCAUUGGUAAAUAUGGCCUUGCUGCAUCAACACCCUUUCCUGGAUCAACGACCAAUGCAAAUGCACUUCAAACAUUGCAACAAAUGGACACUAAUCCUCGCAAACGUCGGCUUGAAGCUCUGUUUGGCGAUAUUCGUGAUAUCGAGGAGGAAUCGAACGAGCAGUACGUGUAUUCUUCGCAGAAAAAGACGAAGACAGAAGAAGAGCAGGACAUGGAGCUUAUUGAACGAAUUCUGGAAGCACGCCAACGAUACAAUGCUGUGGCAAAUCCGUCUAAACCGUCAAUUCUAUCGCGUGCCGAAGCGUUACAUCGAUUUAAGAUGGAUAAUAUUUCACUCGAACCACCGAAGUGGCCAUCAAUGACGGUAAAAAGGGAUGAUAAAACAUGCGUGUACGUUCGCUUUCAUUCAGAGGAUUUUGAAAAGAAUCAAAUUGAUGAGAUCAAUUGUGCAAGGUCCGGUUUUAAUAGUUUGCUAGGAGCUGAAAAGGAACGAAUAUGGAGGGAAGCAAAUGAGAUAGUCGCCAAACGUUUAACCGAACCAGCAAAUGCUAUUGCAUCGCAACCGCCUGAGAUAGAGGAAAUCAUUAUACCAAGCGAAAGCAAUGUACUCUGGGUAGAAAAAUAUCGUCCCAGGCGGUAUAUUGAUCUGCUGUCCGACGAAACUACGAACCGAAAUCUCCUACAGUGGCUUAAACUUUGGGAUAAAAUGGUGUUUAAUCGAGAGCCGGUGAAAAAGGUGAAAGACACCAAAACAGAGCUCAGCAGUUUCAACAAAAAAACGGGCCGUUUCGAAUCAAACGGAGGGUGGGUAAAAGGGGCCCGUAAAGUUCGCUCAACACUUAAUACGGAGUUGGAUGAGCAUGGUUAUCCGGUUCAGAAGGUGGCUUUACUUUGUGGCCCUCCUGGGUUAGGAAAGACCACGCUUGCACACACAAUCGCACGCCACGCGGGAUAUACCAUCAGAGAGGUAAAUGCGUCUGAUGAUCGCAGCCCGGAUGCAUUCCGGUUGGUGCUUGAGAAUGGCACACAGAUGAAAUCUGUGCUGAACGAAGAAAACCGACCAAACUGUAUUGUGCUCGAUGAAAUCGACGGUGCACCGGUGGCAGCGAUUGAGUUUCUGCUUCGAUUUAUCGCCGGCAAUACUGGGACACAGAAAGCCAGUGGUCUUAAGAAAGCAAACAAAGCGGGGCGUGAUAAAGUUUUGCUGAAGCGACCAAUCAUCUGCAUUUGUAACGAUAUGUAUGUACCAGCACUGCGACAGCUGCGACAGGUAGCAUAUGUGGUAAAUUUUCCACCAACAGAAGGUGUUCGUCUUGCGGAACGGUUACUCGUAAUCGCAAAGAAGGAACACAUCACAACGGACCUUACUUCGAUGCUGGCGCUGGCAGAAAAAACUGGAAACGAUGUACGGGCGUGUCUUGCGAUGUUGCAGUUCUUUGCUUGUGCGAAAAAGCCGAUCCGACUCACGGACGUUCUUAAGUGUAACGUUGGUCAGAAGGAUCGCCACAAGGGACUGUUUAGCAUAUGGUCAUCUGUAUUUCAGAUAAAACGUCCGCAGAAAACGAUCACUGUCGACCCUAAUGCGACUGUAACGGAAAUGGUUACACUUACCGAUAUGUCAGCCUCAACACGAAUGUCCACCGUGCUCCAGGUGGUCACAAUGGCCGGUGACUAUGAGCGCUUAAUGCAGGGUGUGUUCGAAAAUUAUCUACACCAAAAAAUGCCCGACGGAGAUAUGUGCGGUGUGGCCGAAGCAAUGGAAUGGUUUAGCUUCAAUGACCGGCUACAGCGCACGCUAAACCAGCUGCAGAACUACGCCAUUUAUCCGUAUUUGGCGUAUGCGUUCGUUAUGUGGCACUAUCUGUUUGCAACGCUAGCCUGGCCCAAAAUCAAUUUUCCCAGCAAAGGCUAUGAGCACUCGCAAAAACUAGCCAGCACGAAGCUUAUACUAACAGGACUGAGGAAAGGACUGUCCGCUCAUUUAAAAGGUAUCGGCGAAGGUGCAACAGUGCUAAUCGAUACGAUACCGAUGUUGAAGCGUGUCAUCAAUCCCUCACUGCGAUCGGUUUCUCUGCAAUUGUUAUCUCAAAAGGAAAAAUCCGACCUCACGCACACGGUGAAAGUGAUGGCAGAUUUUGGGCUGAACUACAUCCAACUGAAAACGCCCGAAGGAACGUACCAGUAUCAGCUAAAUCCGGAUCUUGAUCAGUUGUGCACAUUCGGGGGAACUGCCGGUCAAAGCUCCACCUACUUUGGCAAGCAGAUUGUGGCACGUGAAGUCGAGCUGGAGCAAAUGCGCCGAGCCCAACCGAAACUGUUGGAAAACGAAAAGAACGGUCGCACUGUCGCUGGCACAAGCUCGUCCAGAACGAAAGUAAGCACCUUCAAAGGUGCGUCGAAUGGUAGCCACAAAGAGUAUGGGGUACCAGCGUCGGGGAAGAUCCAAGAAGCUUCAAAGUCAUCGCCUGAUCUGCCAAAUCAUCUGCGCACACUGAAGCCGAAGGAAAUUGUACAGAAAACGAAGCAAGUGGUUUCGAAGGACUUUUUCGGUCGGAUAUAUACGAAGGAAACAGUACUAUCGGUGAAGGAAGGUGGAACUGAUGCCAUAGUGAAAAGUCCGAUUUGGUACCGGUACAAAGAAGGAUACAACAACGCAUUCGAAAUAUACGUACAUAUGUUUGGAUUACGAAUAGGUAGAUAUUGGACACCAGGUUUCCUCUCAACCAAGAUUUAUGCAAUAAUCGGAACGGGAUCAUUUGCACCGAAAAAUAAACUGAAACCGCGGUCAUUGCCAAGGCGCUUGAAGAAUCGAACAAAUAUAUACCCUGUUUCGCCUUCGUGAGAACGUUUCUCCGCUUUUAGUGGUGGAUUAUGCCAAUUCUUGCUUGAUGUGCUGUUUAUUUGUAGACGGUUUAUUGUACCCGCCGUAUUGUUGUUGCCCGGCAUUGUGCCAAUUGUGCAGUGGAAAGCACCGUAAAAACGGUGUUUUUUUAUCGCGUGUAAUACGAGUGCGUCGCCCCGCCAAUACGAUGCAGCCAAUUGCAUGCAGAUUUUUUGCAUGCAGUAACAGAAACCGAUAAGAGUAUUCUCAAUUCGUGUGUGUGUGUUUUUGUGAUUUUUGUGUGUGCUUCGUAGAAACGAUUCGUAGAAUUUGUUUGAAAAUCUUAUGCCUAUCAGUUAAUUUAAACUUGCAUACGAAUCGCAUCGAAUGGAACAGUGUAUGUGUGUGAUUUAAAAUAAAAAUAUUUACAAAAAAGUGUACGCGUGGG